CAUAUUGGACAAUGGGGGCAACCCUGAUCCAGCCAUGCCGCGUGUGUGAAGAAGGUCUUCGGAUUGUAAAGCCCUCCAAGUUGGGAGGAAGGGCUUUAGGCUAAUACCCUGAAGUCUUGACGUUACCAACAGAAUAAGCUCCGGCAAACUCUGUGCCAGUAGCCGCGGUAAUACAGAGGGAGCAAGCGUUAAUCGGAAUUACUGGGCGUAAAGCGCGCGUAGGUGGUUCAGUAAGAUGGGUGUGAAAUCCCCGGGCUUAACCUGGGAACUGCUUUCAUAACUGCUGAGCUAGAGUACGGUAGAGGGUAGUGGAAUUUACUGUGUAGCGGUGAAAUGCGUAGAUAUAGGAAGGAACACCAGUGGCGAAGGCGACUACCUGGACUGAUACUGACACUGAGGUGCGAAAGCGUGGGGAGCAAAC
This 421-nucleotide ribosomal RNA is filed under the name uncultured bacterium. RNAcentral's name for it is "partial 16S ribosomal RNA". It matches the Rfam family "Bacterial small subunit ribosomal RNA", at positions 359 to 773 of the family's 1533-position model. The record is from RNAcentral.